This 428-nucleotide ribosomal RNA is filed under the name Streptococcus sp. oral taxon 064. RNAcentral describes it as "bacterial SSU rRNA". It matches the Rfam family "Bacterial small subunit ribosomal RNA", at positions 28 to 442 of the family's 1533-position model. Lineage: Bacteria; Bacillati; Bacillota; Bacilli; Lactobacillales; Streptococcaceae. The record is from RNAcentral.
GACGAACGCUGGCGGCGUGCCUAAUACAUGCAAGUAGAACGCUGAAGGAGGAGCUUGCUCUUCUGGAUGAGUUGCGAACGGGUGAGUAACGCGUAGGUAACCUGCCUGGUAGCGGGGGAUAACUAUUGGAAACGAUAGCUAAUACCGCAUAACAACAGUUGUUGCAUGACAGCUGUUUAAAAGAUGCAAUUGCAUCACUACCAGAUGGACCUGCGUUGUAUUAGCUAGUUGGUGAGGUAACGGCUCACCAAGGCAACGAUACAUAGCCGACCUGAGAGGGUGAUCGGCCACACUGGGACUGAGACACGGCCCAGACUCCUACGGGAGGCAGCAGUAGGGAAUCUUCGGCAAUGGACGGAAGUCUGACCGAGCAACGCCCGCGUGAGUGAAAGAAAGGGUUUUCGGGAUCGUAAAAGCUCUGUGUAAAG